GCUGAUGUAGCUCAAUAGGUAAGAGCACACCUUUGGUAAAGGUGAGGUAUCCAGUUCAAUUCUGGACAUCAGCG
RNAcentral lists this transfer RNA (74 nucleotides) under Candidatus Annandia adelgestsuga. It matches the Rfam family "tRNA". From Rfam's summary of the family: Transfer RNA (tRNA) molecules are approximately 80 nucleotides in length. Their secondary structure includes four short double-helical elements and three loops (D, anti-codon, and T loops). Lineage: Bacteria; Pseudomonadati; Pseudomonadota; Gammaproteobacteria; Enterobacterales; Enterobacteriaceae. The record is from Rfam by way of RNAcentral.